GUCCACGCCCUAAACGAUGUCAACUAGGUGUUGGGUAGGAGACUUCCUUAGUACCGCAGCUAACGCGUGAAGUUGACCGCCUGGGGAGGUACGGCCGCAAGGUUGAAACUCAAAGGAAUUGACGGGGACCCGGCACAAGCGGUGGAUUAUGUGGAUUAAUUCGAUGCAACGCGAAAAACCUUAACCUACCCUUGACAUGCCGAGAAUCCCGAAGAGAUUUGGGAGUGCCCGAAAGGGAACUUGGACACAGGUGCUGCAUGGCUGUCGU
This 268-nucleotide ribosomal RNA is filed under the name uncultured bacterium. RNAcentral describes it as "partial 16S ribosomal RNA". It matches the Rfam family "Bacterial small subunit ribosomal RNA", at positions 793 to 1055 of the family's 1533-position model. The record is from RNAcentral.